Molecule: ribosomal RNA, 700 nt
Filed under: uncultured bacterium
Lineage: Bacteria
Description: bacterial SSU rRNA
Rfam family: Bacterial small subunit ribosomal RNA
Source: RNAcentral
CGAACGGAGUACAGCAAUGUGCUUAGUGGCGCACGGGUGAGUAACACGUGGCUAACCUGCCCCGAAGUGGGGGAUAACGCAUCGAAAGGUGUGCUAAUACCGCAUGAGCUUGACAGGAAUAGAGACUGUCAAGGAAAGCUUUAGUGCUUUGGGAGGGGGCUGCGACCCAUCAGGUAGAUGGCGAGGUAACGGCUCACCAUGCCAACGACGGGUAGGGGACCUGAGAGGGUGACCCCCCACACUGGGACUGAGACACGGCCCAGACUCCUACGGGAGGCAGCAGUAAGGAAUAUUGCUCAAUGGGCGCAAGCCUGGAGCAGCGACGCCGCGUGGGCGAUGAAGGUCUUCGGACCGUAAAGCCCUUUUCUGCGUGACGAGAAAGGACGGUAGCGCAGGAAGAAGUCUCGGCUAACUACGUGCCAGCAGCCACGGUAAAACGUAGGAGACGAGCGUUAUCCGGAAUUACUGGGCGUAAGGCGCGAGUGGGCGGCUAUUUAAGUGGUCUGUGAAAGCGUCCGGCUCAACUGGACGAGGCCGGAUCAGACUGGAUGGCUAGAGGGUCAGAGAGGCAGGCGGAAUUCCGGGUGUAGUGGUGAAAUGCGUAGAGAUCCGGAGGAACACCAGUGGCGAAGGCGGCCUGCUGGCUGACAACUGACGCUGAGGCGCGAAAGCAUGGGGAGCGAACGGGAUUAGAAACCCC